This 29-nucleotide non-coding RNA is filed under the name Mus musculus (house mouse). Lineage: Eukaryota; Metazoa; Chordata; Mammalia; Rodentia; Muridae. The record is from RNAcentral.
UAUGAUGUUAAGACUGAUGUUAAUGGCUA